Molecule: long non-coding RNA, 2068 nt
Filed under: Canis lupus familiaris (dog)
Lineage: Eukaryota; Metazoa; Chordata; Mammalia; Carnivora; Canidae
Description: lncRNA (ENSCAFG00845002421.1)
Source: RNAcentral
CAGGCUUUUUCGGUUUUCUGCUUAGAAAGGUCUUAGUCACUUUAAAAUAACAAAACAAUGGUCACCCAUGUUUUCUUUCAUGACCUCUGUGGUUUCUUUUUCUAUUUAUGUAUUUUAUUUAUCUGGAAUUUAUUAUAUUAUACAUGUGAGGCAGGGGUGAAUUUCGUUUUUACAAAGAGAUAGCCAAUUUAGAUGUUAAGAACUUGGUGAGAUUCUAGACCCUCUUUCACUGUCCUGUGGUUUGAUUUUUGCUAACAUCUGUUUCCAUGGGGUGAUUAGAUAGGUUAGCAGGAAAGUGGUUGGUGUUUGUCUUCAAGUUCAGGGUCACUCCAGAAAGAGAGAAGAAGCAAGACCGGGACAGUCUUCAGACAACAUUGGGAAGAUGGUGUGCGGUGCCCAGAGGAGGGGAAGCAGGGCUCUGGAAUCAUCUUCUAUGUGACCUUGGGACGGCACAGAUCAUGCAUCUGGGUGCAAUGGGUGCCCCGAGAAUGCCCCGCGGAUCGGCGACGGUGGAGAGCCGGGCGUGGUGCCAGCCUAGGGCCAAGCCUCCCGGGACCUCAGCAGAUUGGUACAGACUUCCUCUCUUGCUGAUAUUAAAGAAGAAAGCUGCCAAGUUCUGAGAGAGCCUCUGGAGAGGGCUCCUGGCCAGGAGCUGUGGGUAGCCUCUAGGAGCAAGGGCAGCCUCCAGCCUGCCGCCAACAAAAAGAUUUCAGACCCACCACCACAAGGAGAUGACUUGUGUCAGCAGCCUGUGUGAACCCGCCAGCAGAUGCAUCCCCACCAGAGGGUCCAGAUGAGAACCCAGCCCUGGCUAACAACCUUGACACUUUGGCCUCGCAGAGGACCCCAUUAGGCUGCCCCCAGACUCCUGACCCACUGACACUGUGGAUUACCAGUAUGCAUUGUUCUAAGUUGCUAAGUUUAUGAUAAUUUAUGAUGAAGCGAGCAAAAGUGAAUAUAAGUAUUAUCUCCAUCUUACAGAUGAGGAUCUAAAGCUCAGAGGCUGAUCAGCCAUAUGAUAACUAUAAGCCACAGCAGGGACCAGCCCCAGCCUGCAGACUGCAGGCUGACAUUCUCUCCAGGACUCCGCCUGCAGUGCUGGCCGUUGUUCUCUGCGUGGCUGCCUAGAUAGGAGAGGAGUAAUCUACACGGCUUUGAUUCAGUGACCAUUUUUUCAUUUCAAUUCAACAAUUUGUUGUACUCCCACCAUGUGCCCAGCACUGUGCCAGGCGUGGGUGAUAUAGCAGGGAGCAGCACAGAUAGAGGAUCUGCUUUUGGGGAGCAGAAGCUACAAUGAGGGACAUAAAGGAUGACAAGUGCUAUCAGUGUGAUGAGGGUUUCAGAACAAGGAGGAAUGGGAUGAACUGGGAGCACGUAGUAGGGCAGCCAGCCUCAGUUCAAGGCCAGGGACAGUGUCCUUGAGGAAGUAGCAUGUAGGUCCCUUGGGGGUAGGCCUGGUGGGGAGUCAACCCUUCUGCAUGGAGAGCAAGUGAGUGGGCGGGUGACUGGGUAAGCUUUCCUGGUCAUGGGUCCCCAGGGAAGAAGGCUCUCCCAGCAAUGUGAAAUCAUCCUGUUUCUGUGCAUUGGCUUCCAAGACAUCUUGUCCCAAGGACCCAGGGCUUUAUGACUGGCCCGUGACGCUCGUGAUUCUGGAGCGUGCUUCCUGAAUGCAUCACGGGUGGAUGGGCAGAGGUAGGGGUGGCUUAGCCGUGACUCUUAUCCCCUAAUCAUGCCUGGACAUCUGGCAGGGGAAGAACUGCAGGUGGGAGUGGGAAGCAAAGCAGGCAGAUGAGGAGCAGUGAGGGUAGGAGCAGAGCCAGAGGAAAGCACAAGAAUGAGAAAGCGGGCCCUGCAUGAGCCCAGCUGCAGUGUGCGAUGGUUCAGCAGACCCAGGGUCCUGCCAGUGAGUGGGCAGCAUGAUGUGGCUCAGGCAAGGUCCCAGCAGGACGCAGAUGGCACACUGAGAUCGGGCCAUCCGAGGGGCAUGCAAUAAAGGGACUAUUUUCAAGGGCCAGAAGCUGGACCAAUAGCAGCAGUCUGUGCACUGUGCACUGCUGUGCCGGAUGGG